UGGGGAAUAUUGCACAAUGGGCGAAAGCCUGAUGCAGCAACGCCGCGUGAAGGAAGAAGGGUUUCGGCUCGUAAACUUCUAUCAAUAGGGAAGAAACAAAUGACGGUACCUAAAUAAGAAGCCCCGGCUAACUACGUGCCAGCAGCCGCGGUAAUACGUAGGGGGCAAGCGUUAUCCGGAAUUACUGGGUGUAAAGGGAGCGUAGGCGGCAUGGUAAGCCAGAUGUGAAAGCCUUGGGCUUAACCCGAGGAGUGCAUUUGGAACUAUCAAGCUAGAGUACAGGAGAGGAAAGCGGAAUUCCUAGUGUAGCGGUGAAAUGCGUAGAUAUUAGGAAGAACACCAGUGGCGAAGGCGGCUUUCUGGACUGAAACUGACGCUGAGGCUCGAAAGCGUGGGGAGCAAACAGG
Molecule: ribosomal RNA, 407 nt
Filed under: uncultured bacterium
Lineage: Bacteria
Description: bacterial SSU rRNA
Rfam family: Bacterial small subunit ribosomal RNA
Source: RNAcentral